This 797-nucleotide long non-coding RNA is filed under the name Physcomitrium patens. Its description in RNAcentral is "long non-coding RNA (PPAT_LNC006983)". The record is from RNAcentral. Lineage: Eukaryota; Viridiplantae; Streptophyta; Bryopsida; Funariales; Funariaceae.
AAGAGGAUGAAGACGUACCACUAGAGCCAGAAUUGGUGGAACCAAUAACGGAUAAUGUAGUAAUUGAUCAAUUGGGUGUAUCAGAUAAAUAGAAAUUUUGGAGAAGUUUUUUUAGUUAUGUAUCGGUUCUAUGUUUGCGAGGAUGCUGCACAAAUGGGAGUGGGGCUAUGUAGAAUAAGUAGUUAUUUGCUGAAUUGUAGAUACUUAGUUUAUAGUGUAAACAGGGAUAGAUGACUGUUGAAAAGGUAGUUCAGUAGGUAAAAUAGAUGAAUAGUUAGGAAAAGCAGUUUUCAUUAGAAAUGUAGCAGUUGGUAUCUCGUGGUAGCAUAAGGAGGAUGGGAGAGAGGAAGUAAGGGCUAGACUGUGAUAGUGUGAGCCGGGGUAAGCUUGGUGCUACCUCUUUUCUUUUGUUUGUUAUUUUCUUUGAAUAAGAAGAUUAAGAGUUUCUGAAUAUUGUAAAAGUGAAUUAUGGAAUGGAAGUAUGAUUGUUAUUAAAUGGAAAGAAGAAAGAUUGAAUGCUGAAAUCUGAUUGUAGUUCAGUAGAGAGAAUGAGUCUGUGUUUGUGUGAAACACUGUAAUGUGAAGGCAGUUAAUGGUGAAGAACUUCAGAGUUUGGAUUAUAGUAUGAUUAUGUCCUGUCAUUUCGGAUAGUGCGGGAUUACACGUUAUUGUUAUCAGUGAUGGUGGAGUAUUAUUAGGAAGUGGAAAGCAUUGUAGUGUUUCUUGGAUAUUUUAAGUAGUGCGGAAUACAGUUAAUUGUGUGACCCUAACGUGUAAGCUCAUGCGAUAUUCUUUUC